GACGAACGCUGGCGGCGUGCUUAACACAUGCAAGUCGAGCGGUAAGGCCCUUUCGGGGGUACACGAGCGGCGAACGGGUGAGUAACACGUGGGUGACCUGCCCUCAGCUCUGGGGAUAAGCCCGUAGGGAACGUGGGUACUAACGUACUGGAUAUGACUCCACGGUGCAUGUCGGUGGGGUGGAAAGCCUUGUGCGGCUAGGGAGUGGGCCCGGCCGGCC
Molecule: ribosomal RNA, 220 nt
Filed under: uncultured bacterium
Lineage: Bacteria
Description: partial 16S ribosomal RNA
Rfam family: Bacterial small subunit ribosomal RNA
Source: RNAcentral